ACCUUCGUGGUGUAGUGGUCAGCACGCUCGGCGCGUAUUCGAGAGGUCCGUGGUUCGAGUCCCGGCGAAGGCA
RNAcentral lists this transfer RNA (73 nucleotides) under Stegodyphus mimosarum. It matches the Rfam family "tRNA". From Rfam's summary of the family: Transfer RNA (tRNA) molecules are approximately 80 nucleotides in length. Their secondary structure includes four short double-helical elements and three loops (D, anti-codon, and T loops). Further hydrogen bonds mediate the characteristic L-shaped molecular structure. tRNAs have two regions of fundamental functional importance: the anti-codon, which is responsible for specific mRNA codon recognition, and the 3' end, to which the tRNAs corresponding amino acid is attached (by aminoacyl-tRNA synthetases). tRNAs cope with the degeneracy of the genetic code in two manners: having more than one tRNA (with a specific anti-codon) for a particular amino acid; and 'wobble' base-pairing, i.e. permitting non-standard base-pairing at the 3rd anti-codon position. Lineage: Eukaryota; Metazoa; Arthropoda; Arachnida; Araneae; Eresidae. The record is from Rfam by way of RNAcentral.